GGGCGGGAGCCUGAUCCAGCCAUGCCGCGUGCAGGAUGACGGCCCUAUGGGUUGUAAACUGCUUUUAUACGGGAAGAAACGCACCUACGAGUAGGUGUCUGACGGUACCGUAAGAAUAAGGACCGGCUAACUCCGUGCCAGCAGCCGCGGUAAUACGGAGGGUCCGAGCGUUAUCCGGAAUCAUUGGGUUUAAAGGGUCCGUAGGCGGGCCUGUAAGUCAGGGGUGAAAGUUUGUGGCUCAACCAUAAAAUUGCCUUUGAUACUGCAGGUCUUGAGUCAUGGUGGGGUCGCCGGAACAUGUGGUGUAGCGGUGAAAUGCAUAGAUAUCACAUAGAACACCGAUCGCGAAGGCAGGUGGCCAACCAUGUACUGACGCUGAUGGACGAAAGCGUGGGUAGCGAACGGGAUUAGAUACCCCGGUAGUCCACGCCGUAAACGAUGGAUACUAGCUGUGGGGACCUCGGUCUCCGUGGCCAAGCGAAAGUGAUAAGUAUCCCACCUGGGGAGUACGUUCGCAAGAAUGAAACUCAAAGGAAUUGACGGGGGCCCGCACAAGCGGUGGAGCAUGUGGUUUAAUUCGAUGAUACGCGAGGAACCUUACCAGGGCUUAAAUGCAGGCUGCAUGGGGUGGAGACACCCCUUUCUUCGGACCGCCUGCAAGGUGCUGCAUGGUUGUCGUCAGCUCGUGCCGUGAGGUGUCAGGUUAAGUCCUAUAACGAGCGCAACCCCUACCGUUAGUUGCCAGCAUGUAAAGAUGGGGACUCUAGCGGGACUGCCGGUGCAAACCGAGAGGAAGGUGGGGACGACGUCAAAUCAUCACGGCCCUUACGUCCUGGGCUACACACGUGCUACAAUGGCCGGUACAGAGGGAAGCCACCCCGCAAGGGGGCGCGGAUCUACAAAACCGGUCACAGUUCGGAUCGGGGUCUGCAACUCGACCCCGUGAAGCUGGAAUCGCUAGUAAUCGGAUAUCAGCCAUGAUCCGGUGAAUACGUUCCCGGGCCUUGUACACACCGCCCGUCAAGCCAUGGAAGCCGGGAGUGCCUGAAGUCCGUCACCGAGAGGAGCGGCCUAGGGCAAAAUCGGUAACUAGGGCUAAGUCGUAACAAGGUAGCCGUACCGGAAGGUGCGGCUGGAACACCUCCUUUCU
RNAcentral lists this ribosomal RNA (1150 nucleotides) under uncultured Flavobacteriaceae bacterium. Its description in RNAcentral is "bacterial SSU rRNA". It matches the Rfam family "Bacterial small subunit ribosomal RNA", at positions 373 to 1533 of the family's 1533-position model. Lineage: Bacteria; Pseudomonadati; Bacteroidota; Flavobacteriia; Flavobacteriales; Flavobacteriaceae. The record is from RNAcentral.